RNAcentral lists this ribosomal RNA (247 nucleotides) under uncultured bacterium. Its description in RNAcentral is "partial 16S ribosomal RNA". It matches the Rfam family "Bacterial small subunit ribosomal RNA", at positions 524 to 776 of the family's 1533-position model. The record is from RNAcentral.
UACGUAGGUCCCGAGCGUUGUCCGGAUUUAUUGGGCGUAAAGCGAGCGCAGGUGGUUUAUUAAGUCUGGUGUAAAAGGCAGUGGCUCAACCAUUGUAUGCAUUGGAAACUGGUAGACUUGAGUGCAGGAGAGUGGAAUUCCAUGUGUAGCGGUGAAAUGCGUAGAUAUAUGGAGGAACACCGGUGGCGAAAGCGGCUCUCUGGACUGCAACUGACGUUGAGGCCCGAAAGCGUGGGGAGCAAACAGG